UGGGGAAUAUUGCACAAUGGGCGCAAGCCUGAUGCAGCCAUGCCGCGUGUAUGAAGAAGGCCUUCGGGUUGUAAAGUACUUUCAGCGAGGAGGAAGGCGUUGUGGUUAAUAACCGCAACGAUUGACGUUACUCGCAGAAGAAGCACCGGCUAACUCCGUGCCAGCAGCCGCGGUAAUACGGAGGGUGCAAGCGUUAAUCGGAAUUACUGGGCGUAAAGCGCACGCAGGCGGUCUGUCAAGUCGGAUGUGAAAUCCCCGGGCUCAACCUGGGAACUGCAUCCGAAACUGGCAGGCCAGAGUCUUGUAGAGGGGGGUAGAAUUCCAGGUGUAGCGGUGAAAUGCGUAGAGAUCUGGAGGAAUACCGGUGGCGAAGGCGGCCCCCUGGACAAAGACUGACGCUCAGGUGCGAAAGCGUGGGGAGCAAACA
This 427-nucleotide ribosomal RNA is filed under the name uncultured bacterium. RNAcentral's name for it is "partial 16S ribosomal RNA". It matches the Rfam family "Bacterial small subunit ribosomal RNA", at positions 355 to 774 of the family's 1533-position model. The record is from RNAcentral.